Molecule: ribosomal RNA, 879 nt
Filed under: Salmonella enterica subsp. enterica serovar Schwarzengrund
Lineage: Bacteria; Pseudomonadati; Pseudomonadota; Gammaproteobacteria; Enterobacterales; Enterobacteriaceae
Description: bacterial LSU rRNA
Rfam family: Bacterial large subunit ribosomal RNA
Source: RNAcentral
CACACUAUCAUUAACUGAAUCCAUAGGUUAAUGAGGCGAACCGGGGGAACUGAAACAUCUAAGUACCCCGAGGAAAAGAAAUCAACCGAGAUUCCCCCAGUAGCGGCGAGCGAACGGGGAGGAGCCCAGAGCCUGAAUCAGCAUGUGUGUUAGUGGAAGCGUCUGGAAAGGCGCGCGAUACAGGGUGACAGCCCCGUACACAAAAGCGCAUGUGCUGUGAGCUCGAUGAGUAGGGCGGGACACGUGGUAUCCUGUCUGAAUAUGGGGGGACCAUCCUCCAAGGCUAAAUACUCCUGACUGACCGAUAGUGAACCAGUACCGUGAGGGAAAGGCGAAAAGAACCCCGGCGAGGGGAGUGAAAAAGAACCUGAAACCGUGUACGUACAAGCAGUGGGAGCCCCACCACUAAGCCAGUGGUGAACUCCACAUACGCAUCCUUUGCUGAGGAUACGGUUAACGGAGCGAAAGCGACGUUCAACCUCAAAAGAAGCAGAGGGGGCUUAGUGGUGGGGUGACUGCGUACCUUUUGUAUAAUGGGUCAGCGACUUAUAUUCUGUAGCAAGGUUAACCGAAUAGGGGAGCCGGAGGGAAACCGAGUCUUAACCGGGCGUUAAGUUGCAGGGUAUAGACCCGAAACCCGGUGAUCUAGCCAUGGGCAGGUUGAAGGUUGGGUAACACUAACUGGAGGACCGAACCGACUAAUGUUGAAAAAUUAGCGGAUGACCUGUGGCUGGGGGUGAAAGGCCAAUCAAACCGGGAGAUAGCUGGUUCUCCCCGAAAGCUAUUUAGGUAGCGCCUCGUGAAUUCAUCUCCGGGGGUAGAGCACUGUUUCGGCUAGGGGGCCAUCCCGGCUUACCAACCCGAUGCAAACUGCGAAUA